AUCAGCCUCUUGAGGUAGUGCACCCAAAGUCUCUUCUCCUCCUGGUUCUUUGUCUGCAGUUAUGACACAAGUAUUAAACAAGUAAUGUGGAGAACAGCCGGUACACGAAGUAGACACCUUGCUGUAUGACCUUUCCAGAUGGACUCAAACUGAUGACUCUGGCACGAUCCUGCAGUCUCAGACAUGACCUGGGACUCGGACUCGAUCCCGGGGUGACUUCGCUCCGGCACUCACCUGGACGGUGUGCUGCUGCUUGGGAAUCGUCUGAUCCGACACUUUGAAACACAGAGGGUCCUUCACAGUCUCUACCAGCAGCAGAUUACAACA
This is a long non-coding RNA of Siniperca chuatsi (mandarin fish), 327 nucleotides long. RefSeq lists it as uncharacterized. The transcript has 2 exons. The record is from RefSeq and is a predicted model, not a curated record. Lineage: Eukaryota; Metazoa; Chordata; Actinopteri; Centrarchiformes; Sinipercidae.